This 5036-nucleotide long non-coding RNA is filed under the name Sus scrofa (pig). Its description in RNAcentral is "lncRNA (ENSSSCG00030021486.1)". The record is from RNAcentral. Lineage: Eukaryota; Metazoa; Chordata; Mammalia; Artiodactyla; Suidae.
ACAAAUGACCAAAAAAUCUCAAAGACCUCCACAACCUUAAGAAAGAUAAAACAGAAUCAAGAAAUAAGUGGUGAAUCUAUUCUGCAUACAAUACAGGUUGUUUCAUUUCAUUUCAUUUUAUUUCAUUUCUUCAUUUUACUAUCCAGAAAUUAAUAACAACUUUAAAACAAAUAUUUACCAAGCACAUCAUUAAAAAAUCAAAUGCAGAGAUACAUAUGCUUAAAAAAUAUCAAUUAUGCCCCAUUCUUCCCACUCCUACUUCUCCUUCCCAAAGAUACAUUUUAAAGACAUUCACUUGUUUUUCCAGGUGAUUUCAACCCUAUUACUAAAUGACACAUUUUUAUCACUGUCCUUCUUAGAUCAGAUUGAGACAUUUUAGCUCCCUUAACACCACAAACUCCCUCUUUCUUCUCUUCCUAAUAUGAUUCCAUCAUCACAUUUGAUGCUAUAUUGGUUAGCACUGUCCCUUUAUUACUUGAUACCUCAGAGUCCUGCCUCACUUGGUAAGAUAGAGAAAUAACAAAGAGAAUAGAACCUUCCUUUUAGUCUCUUCUCCCCUUAAUCUUUCGACCUCUUCAAUCUGCAUUUUUCCUUUUACACCAUAGUGAUUGAUGACAUUUAACUUUGUUUUACAUCUUCCGUGUUUGCUUAUAGGUUUGUGAUACAAUUUGAAACUCAAUAGUCAGCACUUACGUUAUUAGAGGAAACAGAAUUUUCUCCUUGAAGAGUAUUGCCUUCACCAUAGCCUCAUUUCCUCUCUGCCUAAAUCUCUUCAUCAGGUCAAUUCUGUAAAGUUCUGAUUCCUAGAGACCUCUCCUCUGUCAUCUCAACCCAGUAUGGAUGUGGCGCCCUGACUUGCUGCGCUUGUUUCUUAGGUCACGUGUCCUUUCCUUUCCCAUGAUAUAACUCCACUUAUGUUUUCCAAUCUAUAAUAACUAAGAAGAAAUAAUAGAUUAAAUUAUUAGUUCUUACAUGUCUGUAAAUACGCCUUACCUCAAGCUUGCAUGAUGCUGUGGAAGGUUGUAGAAAUCUAGGUUGAGAAUCACUUUCCUAUGGAACAGUGGUCAGUGAACUUCUGUAAAGGGCUGGACAGUAAGUACUUUAGGUUUCAUGGGCCAUAUGGUUUCUGUUGCAACUACUCAACUCUGCCUUUGUAGCAUAAAAGUAGCUAUAGACAAAAGGUGAAUGAAUGAGCCUGGUUGUGUUUUAUUAAAACUUCUUUUGCGAAAGAGGCAGCCGGCUGGAUCUGGCCCACAGAAUGUAGUUUGCCAAUCCCUUCUUUAGAAUUUGAAGCCACAUUUUCUUGUAUUCUUGCAUCUAGUGUUGUGAAUGAAGUCUGAUGCUGGACUAAAUCUUGUUUCUUUGUAUAUCGCUUCCUUUUCUAUUUUAAUUUUUCCCUGAGACCAUUUAGAAUAUUCUCUUUAAUCCUUCCAUCCUAAAUUUUCACAAUAAUAUGUACAGGUGUGGGUCUUCUCAACUCUUGGGCAUACGGAGGGAUAUUUUAGAUUGAAAACCUGACUUCCAUUUUCAACCCAGGGAAAUUCUCCUCGUUCACUUUAUACUCAUCUCUGUUUUGUUGCUUCUGAUCUUUUUUUUCUGGAACCUGCAUUGGUCUGAUGAUGGGCCACUUGGAUAAUUGCUCUUUGUGUCAAGUCUUUUUCUCUUUUUUUGAAGAGGAGUUCCUUGUCUUAUUUUUGGAGAGGUUUCCUCAACUAUAUCUGUCCAAACUUUUAUUGAAUUUUUUGGCAAUAACAUUUAAAAAUACCUUUUUCUUGCUGUCUAAUCUUCCCUCUCCUCCACCUCCCUUUCCCCUGCAGAAUAGAUUUACCAGAAAGCUAAUGACCCCACAUUUGAGUUCCAAAAGUUGCUGUAGACUGUUCUAAGUGGGCAUGUAAAACUAGGUUUACAAUCAGGAAGCAGUUCUGUGAAAGCUGUUCUGGCUAAAUCUUAAAAGACAGGGAUUGGAAUCUCUAAGAUUAUAUAAUUUAAACCGUGAUGUAUUUUUCAUAUAUAAAUAUUCAUUUUUGCACCAUCUUAUAUGUCUAAAUUAGUAUUUUAAAAAAGACCCCCAGUAUAUACACACUACUAUAUAAAGUAAAUGAUUAACAAGAACCUACUGUAUAGCACAGGAAGAUAGAACUCAAUAGUUUGUAAUAACCUAUAUGGGAAAAAAGAAUGAAUACUUUUAUAUGUAAGACUAAUUCAUUUUGCUAUACACCUGAAACAAAUAUAACAUUGUAUGUUAACAAUAAUCUAACUACAUUUAAAACAAAUUAAAAAAUUAAAAAGUAUUGCUUAAGCUUUAAGUUACACAAAACCUAGGUUUUUAUCAUACUUUAAUUUUUUUGAGGGUACUCAUUAACAUUUUUCUUAGUUAUUUUCUGCUUUUUGGGACUUUAUCUGUUUCCUUGAAGUUAUCUUAUAGUUAGUAUAUUAUUUUUUUCCCACACAUGUCUGGUGAUCCUUGGUUUUCUAUUCAUAUUUCAAGAUGAGAAAAUAGAAAAGCUGACUGUGAGGUCUAUGAGCAGGGGUGGGGCCUGUCUGCUGGCAAGUUUUCUUCUAGGGAAACUGGAGGUGGGGGCAUGGUCUCUGGGGUGCUGAGACUCAGCCACUUCUGUUCUGCUCUGAGACUUCACCCCAUGUUUAAAGAGAAUUCCCCAUUUUUAUUUUUUUCAUUCCUUAGGGAGAAAUACCUGGCUGUCAGGAGAUGAUUGAUCAUUUCUCUGAUCCUCUCGUUUUUAGGGCCUGCCCCUCCCUUCCAGCAGUUGACACACCAGUUAUAGAGUUUCUGAGUCUUACCAACAAGACAAGACACCUCCCACUGGUCAGCCUCUGGGUAUGUUUUAGGCGACACCUUCCUCUGUUCCACAUCAUCAAGAGCUUAUUCCUUCGCAUGCUUUGUGGCUUCCAGAUGUUUAUCAAAUCCCUUAUUGACUGAGAGUCAUCCUCCUGUUCUCUCAGCUGUGUGUUUACUGUGCUGCAACAGCGCCUUGGCAGAUAUUAUGUGUACUCAAUGGCGCCUUGAACUUAGAGCCUUAUGGAGCUUUAAUCUCCCCACCUACCAACUCAUAGCUUAAAAGAUGGCUCAGGUUUGGCUGCCUAGGCUGUUAGGUUUUUUGUCAAGAUUUCUUUGGGGGAAAAACUCACUUUUUAGUGAAAUCUUCAUUUAUUUAUACCUCAUUUUGAAAGACAUUCAGCCUCCGUUUUUAUCUCCUUUAUAUUUUCAAGAAGUCCUCACUCUACCUAUCCAAGCCUUCCUGGAUUUCCUGCAUCACCCUAUUUAUUCAUAUUUUUAUUUUGUUUUAUUUUAGAGAGCUCUGUGGUGAGGAGAAAAGGAAGUGUGGAUGCUUGGUCAAUCAUCUUCAACUGGAAGCCAGAACGUUCACAUUUUUAAAUGAUAUAAUUCAAUGGCCUUUCCUCUUUUCAUAAAAGCCUUACGGACUAUAAAUCAGAAAGCUCUCAGAAAAAGCAGUCUAAAAACAUAAUUAUGCACUCACAUUUAGAGGAGUUUCUAAUUAACUUCUCUUUUAAAAAUAUUUGAUCCUGAAGGCACAAUCUAAAACUUCCUAUCAUUCUGUUUUUGACUUAUUUUCUUCUCAAGAGAUACAUAUUCUUAUCUGUCUCUUCCUCUUUUUGUUGGGUAUUUAACUCCUUCAUACUGUCUGAUUUAAAAGCUUCCCAUCUUUCUUUGAAAUUUUAGGGUAUUUAAAAGUCUUUUCCUACAUGACUCUUGUACCACAGACCAUUAAUAUUUUAGGUGAAUCAGAAUCCACUGAAGAUCACAAGAAAUAUUCUGUAUAUUAUGUCAUUUAAACUGAAAGGGAAUUACAGUGCUUUUCUGAGUACUUUCAGAUCUUUAUACAUCCAUGAAUUAACUCAAUAAUAGAUUUUUUAAAAAAAUCUUUUUAGGGCCACACCUAAAAUGGCACAUGGAGGUUCCCAGGCUAGGGGCUGAAUUGGAGCUAUACCUGCUGGCCUACAGAACGGCCAUAGCAAUGCGGGAUCUGAGCAUGUCUGUGACCUACACCACAGCUCAUGGCUGGAUCCUUAACCCACUGAGUGAGGCCAGGGAUCAAACCUGUGUCCUCAUGGAUACUAGUCGGGUUCAUUAACCACUGAGCCAAAACGGAAAUUCCUAGAUUUUCUUUUUUUGAAUGCCUAAACUGUGCCAGACAUAUUUUAGGCUGUAAAACUAAGUGACCAGAGACUAAGAAAAAUCUCUGACCUCAUGCUGUCUUCUUGGGGGAGACAAUCAACGAGAUAAAUAGGUAAAAAUAUAUUUGUAUGAGGGUUCUGCAGAGAAACAGAACUGAUGGGUGUAUCCAUGUAAAGAGAUUUAUUAUAAAGAGUUGGCUCAUGCAGUUAUGGAUGCUAGCCAGACCUGAGAUCUUCAGUGAGUAGGCAAGCUGGAGAGCCAGGAGAGCCGAUGGUUUAGUUCCAGUCUGGGUCCUAAAGCCUGAGAACCAGGAAAGAUAAAGACAUAGUCCCAUUCCAAAAGCUGGCAGGUUUGAGACCCAGAGAGAGUCUUUGCUUCAUUUUGAAUUUGAAGGCAAGAAAAAGCCAAUGUCUCUGCUCGAAGACAGUCAAGUAGUCAAGCAGGAGUUUGCUCCUCUGCAGAAGGAUCAGCCUUUUGUUCUAUUCUGGCCUUCCAUUAAUAGGACAAGCUCUGCCCAUCUUAGGGAGGACGAUAUGCAUUCCUUAGUCUACCUAUUAAAAUGGUAAUCUUGGGAGUUCCCUUGGUGCAGAGGGUUGAAGAUCCAGCCUUGUCACUGCUGUGGCUCAGAUUGUAGCUGUGGCACAGGUUGGAUCUGCAUGCAUGGACAUGGCCCAAAAAGAUGGUAACCUGGAAAAUAACAACAAAUUAGAGAUAAAACUGAUCCUGAGGCUUAGAACAUAUUCUACUCAUGCAGUUGUAAUGUAUGCUCGCGGAACUGACUAUAGCAUCAGGAGAUUCAUAAUGAAAGACUACAACUCAAAUUUGACUGUGGAAGUGGUCCUGAAAUUGUGUUCAUUUAAAGCAUUCAAGUCAAUGAUAG